This 488-nucleotide ribosomal RNA is filed under the name uncultured bacterium. RNAcentral describes it as "bacterial SSU rRNA". It matches the Rfam family "Bacterial small subunit ribosomal RNA", at positions 28 to 527 of the family's 1533-position model. The record is from RNAcentral.
GAUGAACGCUAGCGGCAGGCUUAAUACAUGCAAGUCAAGGGGGUAGCAAUACAACCGGCGCACGGGUGAGUAACGCGUACACAACAUACCAUAUACUGGAGUAUAGCUUUGGGAAACUGAAGGUAAUCCUCCAUAACAUUGCGAGAGGGCAUCUGAUUGCAAUUAAAGUUUCGGCGGUAUAUGAUUGGUGUGCGUUUGAUUAGCUAGUUGGUAGGGUAACGGCCUACCAAGGCGACGAUCAAUAGCUGGCGUGAGAGCGCGACCAGCCACACUGGAACUGAGACACGGUCCAGACUCCUACGGGAGGCAGCAGUAGGGAAUAUUGGACAAUGGAGGAAACUCUGAUCCAGCCAUGCCGCGUGAUAGAUGAAGGCCCUCUGGGUUGUAAAUAUCUUUUAUCUGGGAAGAAACACUCCUAUUCUUAGGAACUUGACGGUACCAGAGGAAUAAGCACCGGCUAACUCCGUGCCAGCAGCCGCGGUAAUGUA